This 301-nucleotide ribosomal RNA is filed under the name uncultured bacterium. Its description in RNAcentral is "partial 16S ribosomal RNA". It matches the Rfam family "Bacterial small subunit ribosomal RNA", at positions 509 to 807 of the family's 1533-position model. The record is from RNAcentral.
CAGUCGCCGCGGUAAUACGAAGGGUGUAAGCGUUAAUCGGAAUUACUGGGCGUAAAGCGCGCGUAGGUGGUUCAUUAAGUUGGAUGUGAAAUCCCUGAGCUUAACUUAGGAAUUGCAUUCGAUACUGGGAAGCUAGAGUAUGGGAGAGGAUGGUAGAAUUCCAGGUGUAGCGGUGAAAUGCGUAGAGAUCUGGAGGAAUACCGAUGGCGAAGGCAGCCAUCUGGCCUAAUACUGACGCUGAGGUACGAAAGCAUGGGGAGCAAACAGGAUUAGAUACCCCCGUAGUCCCUGUCUCUUAUAC